This 77-nucleotide transfer RNA is filed under the name Oscillospiraceae bacterium. RNAcentral describes it as "tRNA-His". It matches the Rfam family "tRNA". From Rfam's summary of the family: Transfer RNA (tRNA) molecules are approximately 80 nucleotides in length. Their secondary structure includes four short double-helical elements and three loops (D, anti-codon, and T loops). Further hydrogen bonds mediate the characteristic L-shaped molecular structure. tRNAs have two regions of fundamental functional importance: the anti-codon, which is responsible for specific mRNA codon recognition, and the 3' end, to which the tRNAs corresponding amino acid is attached (by aminoacyl-tRNA synthetases). tRNAs cope with the degeneracy of the genetic code in two manners: having more than one tRNA (with a specific anti-codon) for a particular amino acid; and 'wobble' base-pairing, i.e. permitting non-standard base-pairing at the 3rd anti-codon position. Lineage: Bacteria; Bacillati; Bacillota; Clostridia; Eubacteriales; Oscillospiraceae. The record is from RNAcentral.
GUGGGAUUAGCUUAGCUGGUUAAAGCGCCAGAUUGUGGCUCUGGAGACCGUCGGUUCGAGUCCGAUAUUCCACCCCA